AUGAACAAGUUGCUCUUCUUGUUUGCAGCAAUUCACAAAGAGAAACCUGAAAAAAUAGAGAAACCUGAGAAACUGAAGAAAUCUGAAAAACCCGAGAAAGUAAAAAAACCUGAAAAACCUGAAAAAGUCAAGAAACUUGAAAAACCUAAGAAACAGGAAAAAAAAGAAAAAAGGGAAGUCGCUAAAUUGCCUCCCAAAGAGAAACUUAUAAAGGAAGGAAAGUCUCAAAAGAAAGUGCCUCCUUCUCCAAAAGCAGAAGAGAAGGUGAAAGGGAAGGUGAAAACUGAACAGCAAGAAAAGAUUGAAAAAAAGGUUGCUCCAAAAGGUAUUAAAAUUUUUAUUCAUUAAGAAUUGAUUAAAUAAUUAUAAAAGUAGCUUCAGGAAUUACUGUUCUUGCUAAUCAGUAUGAUUUUCAUGGAGCAAGAAGCACUGUGGUUUUAACAAUAAUCAAAAGGUCAGUCAUUUCAAGAGCAAAGUGCUGUUCCAAUGUAUUUUUUUUGUUGUCAUUUGACUUUGACUUGUGGUGGCCGUAUAAAAUCGAAGAACUUCAAGAGCCCUGCUUUUCAGCAUUCCUACUUAGAUCUUACCAAUUUAGGCUGUGGCUUUUUUGAUUGAACUAAUCCACCUGUAGUGUCAUUUCCUCCUUUUCCUACUGCCUUUAAUUUUGCCAUCAUAUUUGGGUUAAGCCUCCGACCAUUAAUAGCCCCGGCUUGCAGUUGACCUAUGCAGCCCCAAAAGACAGUUGCAUCUGUCAAUUAGGGAAAUUUAGGGACGCUUUAUGCGGGAGGCUAAUUUAUAACACCAUAAAACUGCCAGCAAAACACGAGGAAAGGAAUGAGGAAGUACAGCCACUACUGGACGGUGAAGCAACAGCUCCCCCUGUGGCUGGAAUCGUGAAGCUGGAAAAAUGUUAAAAAUGCCUCUGAGUCUGUCUAAUGUACCGUAUUUUUCGGUUUAUAAGACGCACUCCCCCCCCCCCAAAAUAGAGGGGAAAAGUCAGUGCGUCUUAUAAACGCAAUCUGCGUCCAGGCAAGGAGAAUGGGGCGAUUUGUGCCGUGCGCGCGCGCGCACGGCCCAGGUCGCCCCAUUCUCCCUUCCUGGAUGCGUCUGCGGACGCAUCCGGGAAGGGAGAUGGGCACAUUCUCCCUUGCCUGGAUGCAGAUCUGGAUCUGCGUCCAGGCAGGGAGAAUGGGGGGAUCUGUGCCGUGCGGCGCACGCACACGGUACAGAUCCGCCCCAUUUUGCCCUUAGUUCCUGGACGCGUCUUAUCAUCAGGUGCGUCCUAUAAAGCGAAAAAUACGGUAUGUUGUUUGUCUGUUGGCAUUGAAUGUUUGCCAUAUAUGUGUUCAUUGUAAUCCGCCCUGAGUCCCCUUUGGGGUGAGAAGGGCGGAAUAUAAAUAUUGUAAAUAAAUAAAUAAAUAUUUUACAAUGAGUCACAUUGUGAUAUGUCCAAUGUACAAUAGCCUCUAUUUAGUUCUCUUCACUUUGAAUGAGACUUCUGGAUAUCCUUGUUCUAUAGCAGUGGUUCUCAACCUGUGGGUCC
This 1543-nucleotide long non-coding RNA is filed under the name Anolis carolinensis (green anole). Its description in RNAcentral is "lncRNA (ENSACAG00000041922.1)". Lineage: Eukaryota; Metazoa; Chordata; Lepidosauria; Squamata; Anolidae. The record is from RNAcentral.